UGUGUGUAAGUAGAAAAGAGGAGAUUGAGCCUGAUCAUGUGAUGUUGAGGGAGUUGCCAGGCUGAGCAGGGCCUCCUCACUUCCCCUACAAGGCAUGCCAAGCAGAUCCAAGAGAGGCUUUGUUUUCAAGGAGUCUCAGAUGAGGGGAGAAGUGUUCCAGGAUGGAAGCUGGGCCAGGACAAGUUGAGUGUCUGCUUUGGGAUCACUGAGGCACCAAGUCUGGACUGUAGCCAGCCAAGGGUAACUGAAAUAAGACAUGCCAAAGAAACUGUAGGCGUAUCUGGCGCACGACACCCUCAAACAGUGCCUGGACAUUAUGAUGCAGUGCUGCC
This is a long non-coding RNA of Meriones unguiculatus (Mongolian gerbil), 332 nucleotides long. RefSeq lists it as uncharacterized. Lineage: Eukaryota; Metazoa; Chordata; Mammalia; Rodentia; Muridae. The record is from RefSeq and is a predicted model, not a curated record. The transcript has 4 exons.